Cydia fagiglandana is the source of this 1123-nucleotide long non-coding RNA. RefSeq lists it as uncharacterized. The transcript is spliced from 2 exons. NCBI's taxonomy places the organism in Eukaryota, Metazoa, Arthropoda, Insecta, Lepidoptera, Tortricidae. The record is from RefSeq and is a predicted model, not a curated record.
UAUUUUGGGUCUUAACCUCGUAAGGCCCAACGUCCUAUUUUUAGGACUGAGAAAUGUAGUCCUUCCGGCCCAAGCAACUAUAUUAAUUUAUCAAUUAGCGGCCCAGAGUCCUAAAAUUAGGUCAUUCACUUCUGACACGUACCGAUCCUAAAUCUUUGCGUGUAAAGAAACCUUUAUUUCUUAAAUAUGGCGGUACUGAACGCAGCUAUUAUGAUUACCUGUCAGUUUGACGUUUGACAAUCAAAUGACAGUCUUUUGGCACGCGGAUGUUGGGAAGAUGGCGUCCUCGCGAAAACGUUGCUUGAGGGAUGCAGAAUUAGAAAAUUAUUUAAAUCUAAACGAAUCCGACUUAGAAAUAAGUGAUUACGAUGAUGACAUAUUUGAUGCGGAUUUUCAACCCCCGAGACGUGAUCAGCCUUCUUACUCCUCAACAUCUUCGUCAUCUGAAGAUGAAAAUGAACUAGUUCCUCCAGAGACCCAGAUGGUUACUGCUUCGGUUGGAAAUAAAAAUGUCACGCCUGCAGAAUCUCACAUUUCACGCCGUUCUCGUGGAAAUUCAAGGACUCGAAGCUGCUCACGUGCUCGUGGUCGGGAAAGGUCAUCGCGUGGACGUGGAAGGUCUCAAAGCAUGUCCCAAGAAAAUCAUUCUGUUGUUAUCCAAGAUAUUUCAACUAAUGAGUGGACAGAAGGAGAAUUCAUUCCCAAGUGUAUUCCAUUUACACAACCAGCAUAUUUACCAAUAAAUCCAGAGCAUUUGUUCGAGAAAUACGAUUAUCUGCGGCAGUAUAUAAAUGACAGCUUAUUGCAAAUUAUUGUGGACAAAUCCAAUGAGAUGUAUUUUGCAAGAAAUGGUCGGUUACUGAAUUCUAUAGUAAUACUAUAGUAAUGUUACAGGAAAAACUAUUUUUUAUGAUGUUUAAUUGUUUAUGUAAGUAAUGUGAGAAACUUGAUCUCAUCCUUAAUAAAGACUAAAGUGCAAUUGUUAAACAAAGUUGAGGCUGAUGUGAUAAUAUUUUAGAAGAAAGUACUUUUUGUUGAUGUUUAGAAUACAUAAGUUUAGAUUUUUUGUACAACUGUAAUGUACUACCUACCUAUACAUAAAUAAAAAUAAUUAUGAAAUAUG